This is a long non-coding RNA of Heterocephalus glaber (naked mole-rat), 383 nucleotides long. The record is from Ensembl. Lineage: Eukaryota; Metazoa; Chordata; Mammalia; Rodentia; Bathyergidae.
AGUUGAUAAGUUUUUAAUUACAUUUUCAAUUUCAUUGGUUGAUAUUGGGUUGUUCAGAAUUUUUAGGUCUUCUUCGUUCAACUUUGGUAAUUCAUAUGUAUCUAGGAAUCUGUCCAUUUCUUCUGUGUUGUCCAUCUUAUCGGCGUAUAGGUUCUGGAAGUAGGUAUUGAUGAUCCUCUGGAUUUCUACUGGGUCUGUUUUAAUUUCACUCUUUUCAUUCCUAAUUGCAUGGAUUUGGGCCUUUUCUUUCCUUUUUCUGACAAGGUUGGCUAAAGGUUUGUUAAUUAUUUUGAAGAACCAACUCUUGGCUUCAUUGAUUUUUUUGUAUUGUUCUCUUAGUCUCCAUUGCAUUGAUUUCUCCUCUGAUCUUUAUAAUUUCCUCC